UCUAGUAGACACUAGCACUCGAGUUCCC
RNAcentral lists this non-coding RNA (28 nucleotides) under Bombyx mori (domestic silkworm). The record is from RNAcentral. Lineage: Eukaryota; Metazoa; Arthropoda; Insecta; Lepidoptera; Bombycidae.